Molecule: ribosomal RNA, 1517 nt
Filed under: metagenome
Description: bacterial SSU rRNA
Rfam family: Bacterial small subunit ribosomal RNA
Source: RNAcentral
AGAGUUUGAUCAUGGCUCAGAUUGAACGCUGGCGGCAGGCUUAACACAUGCAAGUCGAGCGGGGGAAGGUAGCUUGCUACUGGACCUAGCGGCGGACGGGUGAGUAAUGCUUAGGAAUCUGCCUAUUAGUGGGGGACAACAUCUCGAAAGGGAUGCUAAUACCGCAUACGUCCUACGGGAGAAAGCAGGGGAUCUUCGGACCUUGCGCUAAUAGAUGAGCCUAAGUCGGAUUAGCUAGUUGGUGGGGUAAAGGCCUACCAAGGCGACGAUCUGUAGCGGGUCUGAGAGGAUGAUCCGCCACACUGGGACUGAGACACGGCCCAGACUCCUACGGGAGGCAGCAGUGGGGAAUAUUGGACAAUGGGGGGAACCCUGAUCCAGCCAUGCCGCGUGUGUGAAGAAGGCCUUAUGGUUGUAAAGCACUUUAAGCGAGGAGGAGGCUACUUUAGUUAAUACCUAGAGAUAGUGGACGUUACUCGCAGAAUAAGCACCGGCUAACUCUGUGCCAGCAGCCGCGGUAAUACAGAGGGUGCGAGCGUUAAUCGGAUUUACUGGGCGUAAAGCGUGCGUAGGCGGCUUAUUAAGUCGGAUGUGAAAUCCCCGAGCUUAACUUGGGAAUUGCAUUCGAUACUGGUGAGCUAGAGUAUGGGAGAGGAUGGUAGAAUUCCAGGUGUAGCGGUGAAAUGCGUAGAGAUCUGGAGGAAUACCGAUGGCGAAGGCAGCCAUCUGGCCUAAUACUGACGCUGAGGUACGAAAGCAUGGGGAGCAAACAGGAUUAGAUACCCUGGUAGUCCAUGCCGUAAACGAUGUCUACUAGCCGUUGGGGCCUUUGAGGCUUUAGUGGCGCAGCUAACGCGAUAAGUAGACCGCCUGGGGAGUACGGUCGCAAGACUAAAACUCAAAUGAAUUGACGGGGGCCCGCACAAGCGGUGGAGCAUGUGGUUUAAUUCGAUGCAACGCGAAGAACCUUACCUGGCCUUGACAUACUAGAAACUUUCCAGAGAUGGAUUGAUGCCUUCGGGAAUCUAGAUACAGGUGCUGCAUGGCUGUCGUCAGCUCGUGUCGUGAGAUGUUGGGUUAAGUCCCGCAACGAGCGCAACCCUUUUCCUUACUUGCCAGCAUUUCGGAUGGGAACUUUAAGGAUACUGCCAGUGACAAACUGGAGGAAGGCGGGGACGACGUCAAGUCAUCAUGGCCCUUACGGCCAGGGCUACACACGUGCUACAAUGGUCGGUACAAAGGGUUGCUACACAGCGAUGUGAUGCUAAUCUCAAAAAGCCGAUCGUAGUCCGGAUUGGAGUCUGCAACUCGACACCAUGAAGUCGGAAUCGCUAGUAAUCGCGGAUCAGAAUGCCGCGGUGAAUACGUUCCCGGGCCUUGUACACACCGCCCGUCACACCAUGGGAGUUUGUUGCACCAGAAGUAGCUAGCCUAACUGCAAAGAGGGCGGUUACCACGGUGUGGCCGAUGACUGGGGUGAAGUCGUAACAAGGUAGCCGUAGGGGAACCUGCGGCUG